CCCUUAGAUGUUCUGGGCCGCACGCGUGCUACACUGAGUGGAUCAGCGGGUCAGGUUGCGCGAAAGCGUUUCCUAAUCUUUAAAUCCGCUCGUGAUGGGGAUUGACGGUUGCAAUUUUCUGUCAUGAACGAGGAAUACCUUGUAAGCGCGGGUCAUCAUCCCGCGCUGAAUACGUCCCUGCCCUUUGUACACACCGCCCGUCGCUCCUACCGAUUGAGUGGUUCGGUGAGGCUUUGGGAUCUGAGCGGAAAGAGCGUUUCGCUGUUUCUGCUCGGAAAACUCAGUCGAACCUUAUCAUUUAGAGGAAGGAGAAGUCGUAACA
RNAcentral lists this ribosomal RNA (322 nucleotides) under uncultured eukaryote. RNAcentral describes it as "partial 18S ribosomal RNA". It matches the Rfam family "Eukaryotic small subunit ribosomal RNA", at positions 1470 to 1796 of the family's 1831-position model. The record is from RNAcentral.